GUUGAGAUAAACAUUUGAAUACGCAAUGACGCACACAUAAUUUGGCAAAGAACAAAAGAAUUAGAAAAAUAAACAUGAAGAACAAAACAAGUUCUUAAUAACCAACAAUGGUAAAGUUGGUUAAAACUUACAAAUUUAAUUCAUCUUGCAAGAAUACUUCCUUAUGACAGGCUAUGUAUACUAUAAACAAUCACAGAAAAUUUGC
Molecule: unclassified non-coding RNA, 205 nt
Filed under: Hevea brasiliensis (rubber tree)
Lineage: Eukaryota; Viridiplantae; Streptophyta; Magnoliopsida; Malpighiales; Euphorbiaceae
Source: RNAcentral